GAUGAACGCUGGCGGCGUGCCUAAUACAUGCAAGUCGAGCGAACGGACGAGAAGCUUGCUUCUCUGAUGUUAGCGGCGGACGGGUGAGUAACACGUGGAUAACCUACCUAUAAGACUGGGAUAACGUCGGGAAACCGGAGCUAAUACCGGAUGAUAUUUUGAACCGCAUGGUUCAAAAGUGAAAGACGGUCUUGCAGUCACUUAUAGAUGGAUCCGCGCUGCAUUAGCUAGUUGGUAAGGUAACGGCUUACCAAGGCAACGAUGCAUAGCCGACCUGAGAGGGUGAUCGGCCACCCUGUAACUGAGACACGGUCCAGACUCCUACGGGAGGCAGCAGUAGGGAAUCUUCCGCAAUGGGCGAAAGCCUGACGGAGCAACGCCGCGUGAGUGAUGAAGGUCUUCGGAUCGUAAAACUCUGUUAUUAGGGAAGAACAUAUGUGUAAGUAACUGUGCACAUCUUGACGGUACCUAAUCAGAAAGCCACGGCUAACUACGUG
This 497-nucleotide ribosomal RNA is filed under the name uncultured bacterium. Its description in RNAcentral is "partial 16S ribosomal RNA". It matches the Rfam family "Bacterial small subunit ribosomal RNA", at positions 28 to 507 of the family's 1533-position model. The record is from RNAcentral.